RNAcentral lists this transfer RNA (76 nucleotides) under Gammaproteobacteria bacterium RIFCSPLOWO2_02_FULL_56_15. Its description in RNAcentral is "tRNA-Phe". It matches the Rfam family "tRNA". From Rfam's summary of the family: Transfer RNA (tRNA) molecules are approximately 80 nucleotides in length. Their secondary structure includes four short double-helical elements and three loops (D, anti-codon, and T loops). Further hydrogen bonds mediate the characteristic L-shaped molecular structure. tRNAs have two regions of fundamental functional importance: the anti-codon, which is responsible for specific mRNA codon recognition, and the 3' end, to which the tRNAs corresponding amino acid is attached (by aminoacyl-tRNA synthetases). tRNAs cope with the degeneracy of the genetic code in two manners: having more than one tRNA (with a specific anti-codon) for a particular amino acid; and 'wobble' base-pairing, i.e. permitting non-standard base-pairing at the 3rd anti-codon position. RNAcentral also lists the same sequence under 1 other name. The record is from RNAcentral. Lineage: Bacteria; Pseudomonadati; Pseudomonadota; Gammaproteobacteria.
GGCCGGGUAGCUCAGUCGGUAGAGCAGGGGACUGAAAAUCCCUGUGUCGGCAGUUCAAUUCUGUCCCCGGCCACCA